AUGAGCCGGCCGUUCCAUUGUCCAGGGUCUCCUCANNNNNCCUUGGCUCUUUCCAUCUGUGCCCCUAGCUUGUCAAUGCCCGCUGGGGGAAGGUUUUGUUCUUUGGCACAUGUUAAAUAUUGUAAAAGGCGGUGUACACUGUACAUUAAAAAAAGGUCUAACAACAAUGCAAUACCACUUUGUCCAUCAAACGCAGCCUUGGGCCUUGAUCGUUUCCCCAGAUACGCAGACGUGCACAGCCAUGUAUUUUGUAAAACAGGCUGCCCUGCUUUCCAGGAGAAGUGGUUUUUAGCUGUGAGGAGGCAUCAAGUGUUCAAGUUAAUUGGACAGUUUUGUGUAACAGUUUCAUUGAGCUUCAUCCCCUAAACUGUCACCUACUUGAAAAUUAUUUGGGAUUAAAAUAAUCCAAUAAUAAAUCCAAACUGGCCAGAGUGGGAGAAUUUCAGCACGGACACGCGCCUAUGAAACUUUGCUUUUUUUCUUUUUCUGGGUCAUAAAGCUAAUAAAAUAUACUUUCCACCUCCCGACGUUCCCCACAUUUUCAUAUAAAUUAUUUCUCACCUAUGUUCUACUUUCCUUUAAGCCUAUGUUUUUUCCCCAGGCCAAGAGCCUUGGUUAAUUUCCUUAGAUAAAUGUCGGUUACCUCUGAUAAGAAAAAGCGCACUAGAGAGAGUUAGAUGGAGCAGCUAGCCAUCUCAGUGAGCUUGCAAUGACAGAUAAACUUCUUGACAAAUUAGUUAACAGAAGCUCUUAUUUGACUUGUGGGAUAAACUUCAGAGGGAAGCAGAGAGAAAAAUGUACAUUUUAUGAAAACAAUGGUAUGUCAACAGAUGAAGCAUUUUGUGUAUAUUACGGGAUGCGUGGAUACCAGGCACCGUAGGAGACCCAAAGACUGCGUGCAUUUGGCCCCAGCGCCCCUGGGGCUCAUGACUUCACCGGGAGCACACAGAAGGGGAGACUGGUGGCUGCUGAAGGGUUGAAUCUUGUGCACCCGGGCAGUCUCCUUGUGUUUCCGGAUGGGGGAUAGGUCAGGCUAGCCUGGCUGCAUUCCUGCCCUGAUGAAGUGUGAGGCCCCAAGUUGGCUUUCUUCCCUGUCUAUACGUCCAGAGAGCCCUCUCCCUCCUCACACAGCCUUGGGGGCUGUGGAGAAACAUGGUGAAUAAUCCUUGACACUUAGAGACCCAGGAGGCACUUGAUAAAAAAGGGCCGAUGCAGAAACUGAGAGUUCAGGCUCACUCCAGGGUCUUGGGGUGUCAGUGGUGGGGAUUCUGUUCGACAUAGCUGUGACAUUCUUUGCCACCUGAUGAUGCUUUGAAGAUCUUGAGCUAAUUUUUCAUGGAGGAGAUGGAGAGGUGGUGGGCGAGGAAGAAAGGGCGUAUUGUAAGGAGGAGAGAAGAAGAUUGAAUGGGGCUUUCAAAGUGGUGUGGAGCAAGGUGAGCCUGGGUGUCAUCAAAAGCUGGCCCGUGCUUUGGCUAGUGGUAAGCGUGUGUUGGGGUGGCAGAGGUCAACUCCUAGCCUCCCCUAGCAUCGCCGCACUAGUGAAACACCCUUGCAUUGGACAUUGAGGAGCCUGAAGCAGAAGGGCGGGAGGCUUUGCNNNNNNNNNNNNNNNNNNNNNNNNNNNNNNNNNNNNNNNNNNNNNNNNNNNNNNNNNNNNNNNNNNNNNNNNNNNNNNNNNNNNNNNNNNNNNNNNNNNUCUCCAGGCAAGAAUGCUGGAGUGGGUUGCCAUUUCCUUCUCCAGGGCAAGCUUCCCAAUCCAGGGAUCGAACCGAGGUCUCCCACAUUGCAGGCAGAGAGACUGGUAAAUAGCUGAGGAGAGGAGAAAGUCUUCAAUGUCUGCUCACAAAGUAACUCAUAUGUACUUAAGAGCAUCUUUAACAGGGAAGGCUACCUGGGCAGUUCUCGAGCACCAGUAUGUAGGAGACUUCUUGGGUGGCUCAGUGGUAAAGAAUCUGCCUGCAGUGCAGGAGAUACAGGUUCAAUCCCUGGGUCGGGAAGAUGCCCUGAAGGAGGGCACGGCAACACACUCUAGUACUCUUGCCUUGAGAAUCCCAUGGACAUAGGAGCCUGGCAGGCUAUAAUUCAUGGGGUUGCAAAGAGUUGGACACAACNNNNNNNNNNNNNNNNNNNNNNNNNNNNNNNNNNNNNNNNNNNNNNNNNNNNNNNNNNNNNNNNNNNNNNNNNNNNNNNNNNNNNNNNNNNNNNNNNNNGGAGCCUGGUGGGCUACAAUCCACGGGGUUGCAAAGAGUUGGACACGACUUAGGGACUCAACAACAACAGCAACAGAUUAGUGAGAACUGAUCUGCCCUGCCAACCGGGCUCGGAGGAUGCCCCCUCUUCUCCCCAUGCCCCUUACCCCGGCCUUGGUGUAAAGCCGUGAUCACUUACUUCCAUUGCUCUCCUCUGGGACAGCUUGAAACCUCAACCUGGGGAGAUGGGGAGUUGCAGGGGCCUGACUUUGCAGGGCCGAGGCGUCUGGAGGAGUUAGAUCUCCUCGCUCAGCAGUGGAAGCUGCUCUGGGCGCCUUGGUAGAGGUGGAUGGGAGACAAGCAGUGUUCAGGGAAGGUGGUCUGGCCACGGGGUGACCUAGUGAGGAGGGGGCGAGAGAAGUGACGGGUUAUUUGGGUGCAAGCUGAAAACUGAUGGCGUUUUCAGGCUCGGCACUUCUGGGUCAUCUUUGACUUCCUCCUCUGACAUUCCCUGUUUGUCUCCCUGGAAGUUCUUCAUGUUCAGUGCACAGCCGACUACCCAGGAAGCACGUGAAGAACAGAUUCCGGGGCUCCAUUCCCAGGGCCAGGAGCGAGCCUGGGAAUCUGCAUUUUCAACUUGCAUCCCAGGCUAUCCUAGUGCGGGGAACUGAGGACCAUUUUUGAGAAAGCUGACCUGGUUAGUAGUCAGGGUCUAUCAGGUUUGGAGCGUCUUUCUUCUUCUCUUUUGCCUCUCUGAUCAGCCCCUUCUUUCUGUUUUCCCUGCCGCUGUCCUCCUGGUCCCCUCCCCUUCCUCCCUGCUCACUGUUCUCUUCCAGAGCCUGCUCCCAUCGAAACCUCAGGGCAACCCCAGGCGGUCCCUCCCAUUAGCCUGGUUCCAGGGUCUCCUGUCUCUGUCCGCCACAGGCCUGUCUGGCCUCGCAGGCACAGCUCUCUUCCUCUUGCUGAGAAAUCUGCCCCGACCUCCUUGCUAAGUAAGUGGUGGCCCCUCGCCCCCCAUUUCUUUGCGUUUCUGCAGCUUCUGUUCCCCACACUGCUUAGUUAUGGGGAUGUGUUGGUUGUCAGCAUGUCAGAGGAGCCCAGGCUUUGAAUCUGGCAGCGACUCUCACCUCCAAAAACCGGUCCUGCAGGGUUUCCUGAUAUAAUUCCCAGAAAGAGACUUAAGUUUAGUGCUUAGUACAUAGGAUGUGUUUAUUCCAAUGUUGUUUCUUCCUCUUUUUCUUAUGUGUCCUGAAUCCCCAGCUGGACCAAAACACCCUCAAUAGACAAAAAAUGGGCUUUCCGUUCCCCUCUGUUUUCAGCAUUGAGCUUAGUUGGCUCGAUAGGUGAUAAUACAGAAAGCAGUCACAGUAGUGACGGGGGGUGGGGGGUAACGGUAAUAGCAAACGUAUAAGGUAUUUGUGACGUGCCAGACGUUGCAUAGAGCGUUACUCAUUGCAUCUUAACAGCAAAGCUUUGAGGUAGGCGCUGUUACGGACACGCGACGAGGAGAACUGGGCAUGGAGAGGCUGCGGGACCUGCCCAAGGGCACCCCGCUGCCAAGGCUUUGAAUUUGAACUCAGAACGACUGGCUGCCACCGCUGUACUCUAAUAGCACUGCAGUAAGAAAAAAGCCCAUUUCACGUAUGUAAAAUAUGUUGACCAUAUACAGAAACAGAGGGACGCAUACAAUGAAUUCCUAUUUAGGCCGCUUCAGUGAUCAUCAUCGUGUCCUAUUUUACUUUAUCUAUAGCCCCACCCCCUCCUUUGUCUCCAUUUUGUAUUUAUUUUGAGACAAAUCCUGGACAUACACCCUCCCUGUAAAUACUUAUGUAAGUAAGUAAGUAAGUAAGUAAGUGUUAGUCGCUCUUUGCCUGACUCUUUGCGACCCCAUGGACUGCAGCCCACCAGGCUCCU
Molecule: long non-coding RNA, 4103 nt
Filed under: Capra hircus (goat)
Lineage: Eukaryota; Metazoa; Chordata; Mammalia; Artiodactyla; Bovidae
Description: lncRNA (ENSCHIG00010013060.1)
Rfam family: tRNA (bases 1927-1997)
Source: RNAcentral